Molecule: unclassified non-coding RNA, 4904 nt
Filed under: Leishmania donovani
Lineage: Eukaryota; Euglenozoa; Kinetoplastea; Trypanosomatida; Trypanosomatidae
Description: gene:LdHU3.20.0570(CDS-product:conserved_protein_ unknown_function)
Source: RNAcentral
CGCUGAAGACCCAAGGUGCUUCAUCUUAUUGACAGCGAGAGGCCAUCCCGGCAGGGCACUUCAAUAAAACGUCUGCCUGCCACUUGCGGAGCCAAGCGCACAGCGCAUAUCUCGACAAAGGCUCGCCGCAGCACUCGCAGCUCGCCCAGGAAUCUGCUUCAUCAUCCAUACACGCACACACUCAUGCACGCACACGUAUUCGUACAGGGCGUACGCACAUAACACAGCGCGAAUAUAUCAGCGAAGCCUCCCUGCAACCUGCGCCACACCGCACGCACCCGCGCUAUUUUCUUUUGCUUCUGCGGCCCACUUUGGAGUUCUUGUGCAGGUGACGUGAGCUCCCAUCUCCCGCGCGUCGGCCCCCAUCCACGUCUGCCUGCGUGGCUGUGAGCCCCCUCCCCCUUCCCUACUUUCUCCUGAGCCAUGACGCACAGCGCGUACAACAAGCAUGACAUUCCGCGAGAGCUGCAGCGACUUAUCGACCACACUGACCGCGGCAUUGAGCAGCUCUACCAACUAGCCGGCCGCAGCACUGCAGCGUCGACUGUGGCGGUCGACAGGCAGCCCAUCAUCGCGAAGGAGGGGGAGCGAAGACAGAAACGUCGGGUGCACUAUCAUAGCAGAGGAGGUAAAGGCUCGCUACUGGAAGAGAGGCGUGCCGAGGUAUGGCACGACGACCCCCACCGCAGCGUCCGCAAAGACAGCAGCGGUGGCCGCAGCGGCGCCAGAGCAGACGUCCAACCGAGGGCAACCGUGCGAUUCUCGUCCCGGAGAUCGAGAGACGCGUGCGACUACGGCGGCGUUUCAAACGACUGGAGGGGCUCGCGCACAUCCGCGAGGGGAUUCGCGGCACAGAUGCGGCACGACGAGUACGGCAACAGCGACGGUGACUACUUCGACGACGACGAAGGCGAUACACUACCCGAUGUCACCGAGAGCGACGACGGCACGGACGUCUACAAGAGAGACGAGACAGGCGAUGAAAACGACAACUGCGAAGAUGAGGGCGAAGAUCGCGAGCCACUGUCAGCUAGCCGCCACCACAGGCAGUGGCGCGCGUCUGGUGUGCUCCGCCAGACCUCCGUUGCCGCUGCCGGGUCUUCGCUGCUGCAAUCGCAGCCGCCCAGUCGGCGGCCUUUGUCGCCGGCGUCGACGCCGCAUCGAACGCUAAACUUCUCUAACGGCACCGCGCCCUCCUCACCGGCGUCUCUUGCGAAGCCGCCGCGCCACUCGCGUCGCCCUGAUCUGCACCCGCCUCCGUCGCACGUACCCGACUCUUUCCCACCGCCUCCAUGGCAGCAGCGACAUUCGCAUCAAGACCACGGCGAUCUGCCCCUUGCGGGAGGCACCUCCUAUACGCUGUCCUCGGCGUCUUUCUCCGGGUUGCGCGGCUCCUCAGCAGCAUCGUCGCCGUCUCCAACAGUGACGACUGCCGACACCGCAGCGUACCGUGCCCACAUGGCGGCGCAGCAGUCCACGCAGAGACCUAACAAGUCUUCAACCGCGCAUCGGCGGCGCUCGCAGCAGCAGCCACUCAGCGGUGCUUCUAUGCCCACCGCAUCCACGUCGCUCUUUAUGAGCCCUGGCUCGACGUAUAGCGGAAGCCGUGACGAGUCCAGCCUUCACACCCGCUCUGGCCUCCAGAAGGCGAGCGGCACGGCGUCUUCUGGGAUGCUGUCUCGAUUCGGACGGAGGUGGAACAGCAUAUUCAAAAAAAUGCUCACCGAUCCGCCACCGCCGGCCCCAUCGGCGGGAUCGUCCACGCCGCGAAAUUCGGCUGCAGCGGCGACGUCCGCGCCACAUCCACGAAGUCCACCCGCUCCAUCGUCAUUCUCUUCUUCUUCAUCCACGACAUCCAUCGUGGGGGACGUGCGCGCGCACGGAGAGGGCACUCCUGAGAGAGACGUGCUUCCUCAGCUGAGGGAGCUCAUUCCACAUCCACAUGCAGUCCCUGCGACUCCGCCGUGCGCCGCUGCCGAUUUGGCGAAUAUUGCCCCCACCGCGUUGCCGUACUCCGUCGCCUCUGCUACAGCAUUCGCCGACGCCCGUGUCGCCGAGCAGCUGCGGGCGGAGCUGGAGGCGAAGGAGGAGGCGAUGCUGCGGCUGCGCAUGGACCACGCACGGGAGAUGGCGGAGCUGCGUCAGUCUCUCACCCACGAGCGAGCAAACGCGGCUAAGCAGACGGCUGACGAGCUUGCCACGUCCUUCUCCAUCAAGCAGCAGCUCCUUCAGUCGUCGCUGCAGACGGAACGGGAGCGUCUGAUGGAGGCGGAGGAGCAACUGCGGCUUGCGCGCCGCGAGGCGGCGCAGCGUAAGAUGGAGCUCGAAGAUUCGGCUCAUGCUUUGCAGGCCCUACAGAGCAAGUACGCGACGCUCGCGCACAGUCAAGGCGAGCACGCGGCGCAGGCGGCGCAGUGGCGUGAGCGGGCGGAGAAGGUCACCGCCGAAGUUGCCCAGCUCGAGUCGCAGGUAAAGGUGUGGAAAGCAAAGGAAGUGGACUGGCAGGCGCGCGAGGCGCAGCUGCAGCUGCUGGCGCACGCUGCUGAGGAGCGGCGGGAGAAGGAAGAGACGUCGGCGCGGACGGCCCUGGCCCAGGUGGAGGCGGCGUUUACACAAACCUCGCAGAGCUACCAGGACUUGCUGGCGGAGGCGACGAAGCGCAUGUCCUACCUUGAAAAGAGUCAUCGGAAGUACAAACUGCUCAAGGAAGCCCACACCGCUCUGAAGACGGAGUACGAGCAGCUCGUUGACUCCUCGAUGCACCGCGCACGGCAGUCGGAGGCAGAGCUCGUCUCGUUACGCGCCGAGGCACAGGAGCUGCGCCAGCAACUGCGUCAACGAGACUCGGCCACGCAGGAGGAGACUGCAUCCCAUCAAGAGAUGCUGAGCGACUACAAGCGGCGGCUGGAGCUGCAAGAGGCGAACGCGGCGGAGCAGGUGAAAACUCUGCAACACCACAUCGACACUGCGAGUCACACCAUCGAGCUUCUGCGGUCGCAGAUGGAUAGCCUCAAGCAGGACCUGAUAGACGAACAGUCACAGCACCAGCAGAUGCAAAUGAAGGCGGCUCAGGCGGAGCUGCAGUGGAAAGAGACGCAACACGAGCAGCAACGUACGGCGGCGGCCUACAAGGUGCGCACUGAGGACACCAUUGCGCAGCUGAAGCGGCAGCUCCGCGACAAGGACACCAAAAUGCAAGCCCUUGCCGCCAGUGCCGCGGAGCCGGUUCAGCGACUACGACAACAGCUGGACGACGAGCGGGGCCGCCGCGCGCGGCUCGAGGAGCAGUUCCGUGCCUACAAGAAAAAGGCCAAGGAGGCGAAGGAGCAGGCGGCGAGCGAGAUGCGGCGAGAACAGCUACGCGCCGCUCUGCUGACACCGAUGUCGUCCGCAGCCUCCUCGCGCGUUCGUUUUGCCCACUCGGCCACCGCCACACCGUCGCCGCCGAGCUCGUCGGCACCCUGCUUCUCCGGCUGGAAUGGCAUGGGUGGUGGCAGAAAAGCGGGGUCGGAGUGCGCCGUCUGGUCGGAUGGGCCAGCUCACCCAGCCGUGAGGGUGUCCGCGCGUGGUGCGCGCGAUGAUCAGCGAGAGAGCCGCUUCGCUUACCCAGCUAUUUUGCGGACCGCCACCGCCCCUGCAUCGAGCGUGCUUGCGACAGCGUCCGUUGGGCACGCCGAGGAGGCCGACGCGGGAGGAGGCCGACGCGUUGCAGCCAACCACUCCCUGGCAAUCCCGCGUACAGACGCUACGCGCUUUUCCUCUGAGGAGGGUGGCCGACUACCGCGCCCGGCUCCUUCUGCAGCGCCACCACCCCAUCCAUCCACGAAGACUGUCCAAGCUUCCGGGGAAGAACAGGGCGAAGAAGAUGCACAGGACCGUUGGGCGUCCUCACCAAGCGCAGUGGUAGCGGCCUCGGUGGCCGCGGAUGCAUCAGCCAUCUCGCCCAGCGCCACUGUGGAGUCGCUUUCCGGUAUCUCGAGGACGUCGCCUUGCACAAGCACACUGAUGCCAGGUGAGGACGACGCAGUGGGGGUCGCUGAAACUGAAGGGCCGGCGAGUACACGCACCGCGGAGCCGACGCUAUCGCUGCAGCCUCGCACCGCAAACAGCCCCGCCCGCACAGACGCAGCGGCCGCGAAAGUGCCUGCUGCUGAUGAGGAUGCCAUUGCCACGCACGUCUACGCCGAUUCUGGGGCGCAGGCGCACGAGCAUCGCAUGAGCACCUUCCACACAAGUGCCUCAGAGGUGCUGCGCCGCAUUGCGGGAAGCCGAGAGGAGUUCCUGGCGCAGUGUGCCGCCAUCGUGAAGAGCACGGCGGCUGCCAGUCGCCGAGGUGCGCAGGCGAGACGGCGACUUUCUGAUGGGGACGCGCGUACUGCAGUGUCCGGCGACAACGCCAGUGCCUCCGAGGCGUCACAGAGCGAUGACGAAACGGACGACCAGGAGCGCCUGUGAAGUGCCGUUCGCAGGGAUUUGGUGGUACCGAUAGAACCGUAUAUGCACCCCCAUACACAUAUCCGUGGAUGUGUGUGUGUGGCACAUGGUGAGGGCAAGUGGUGUGUGAGUGUGUGCAUAGGGGGGAGUUGCUGAGCGCCACAACGCGAGCGGUGGAUGCCAACCAGGUGGCACACGAUGAAGGCAUCACCGCUCAUGGACCGUCUUGUCUCCCCCGUCACCUGACGCCCCCGCCCCGGCCUGGCACAUACUGAUUCCACACGGUGCCAUUGAAAUCUUGGGACAGUGCUGCCUGUGCAUCCAACGGUGCAUGUGUGCGCGCGCGCGCCUGCUUUUGUAGGCGUAUCUUCUUCAUAGAAGUUUUCAUAGCAUUUACGUGUGUGCGUGUGCAGCUCUACUGGUGGGGUCUAUUGUGCAUAUGCAGGCGCCGAGGCACAGGCUUGCCGAUU